This 690-nucleotide small RNA is filed under the name Pongo abelii (Sumatran orangutan). Its description in RNAcentral is "retained intron". The record is from RNAcentral. Lineage: Eukaryota; Metazoa; Chordata; Mammalia; Primates; Hominidae.
GUCACCACUGCCCAGUACAGCUUCUGGCUCUAUGAGCUCUGUGACGUCUACUUGGUGAGAAGGAGCAGAGCGGGGCAGGAGAUGGUGGGGGCAGGUGGGCAGCAGAGCCCUGGGCUCAGUUUUGCCAGAGUUGGCCUUGAGACCUAAGCCAACCCAUCCCCUUCCCAGUCCUCACAGGCACAGCGAGGGCUCAAGGCUAGAUCUCCAGCCAUGAGCCCUGUACCUCUCAUCCCCUAGGAGUGCCUGAAACCUGUACUGAAUGGGGUGGACCAGGUGGCAGCCGAGUGUGCCCGCCAGACCCUGUACACUUGCCUGGACAUUGGCCUGCGGCUGCUCUCACCCUUCAUGCCCUUCGUGACGGAGGAGCUGUUCCAGAGGCUGCCCCGGAGGAUGCCGCAAGCUCCCCCUAGCCUCUGUGUUACCCCCUACCCGGAGCCCUCAGAGGUAUGGCAUAGCCUGGAGAGGGGAGUCUCACCUGCCCUCCAGGCCCCCUCACCCCCUCCUCCACCCCACAGUGCUCCUGGAAGGACCCUGAGGCAGAAGCCGCCCUUGAGCUGGCGCUAAGCAUCACGCGAGCCGUGCGCUCCCUGCGGGCCGACUACAACCUCACCCGGAUCCGGCCUGACUGUUUCCUGGAAGUGGCGGAUGAGGCCACGGGCGCCCUGGCAUCGGCGGUAUCGGGCUACGUGC